This 471-nucleotide ribosomal RNA is filed under the name Brevundimonas sp. Its description in RNAcentral is "bacterial SSU rRNA". It matches the Rfam family "Bacterial small subunit ribosomal RNA", at positions 247 to 734 of the family's 1533-position model. Lineage: Bacteria; Pseudomonadati; Pseudomonadota; Alphaproteobacteria; Caulobacterales; Caulobacteraceae. The record is from RNAcentral.
AGUUGGUGAGGUAAUGGCUCACCAAGGCGACGAUCAGUAGCUGGUCUGAGAGGAUGACCACCCACAUUGGGACUGAGACACGGCCCAAACUCCUACGGGAGGCAGCAGUGGGGAAUCCUGCCCAAUGGGCGAAAGCCUGACGCAGCCAUGCCGCGUGAAUGAUGAAGGUCUUAGGAUUGUAAAAUUCUUUCACCGGGGACGAUAAUGACGGUACCCGGAGAAGAAGCCCCGGCUAACUUCGUGCCAGCAGCCGCGGUAAUACGAAGGGGGCUAGCGUUGCUCGGAAUUACUGGGCGUAAAGGGCGCGUAGGCGGACAUUUAAGUCAGGGGUGAAAUCCCAGAGCUCAACUCUGGAACUGCCUUUGAUACUGGGUGUCUUGAGUGUGAGAGAGGUAUGUGGAACUCCGAGUGUAGAGGUGAAAUUCGUAGAUAUUCGGAAGAACACCAGUGGCGAAGGCGACAUACCUGGCU